Hemicordylus capensis (graceful crag lizard) is the source of this 1627-nucleotide long non-coding RNA. RefSeq lists it as uncharacterized. The transcript is spliced from 4 exons. The record is from RefSeq and is a predicted model, not a curated record. Lineage: Eukaryota; Metazoa; Chordata; Lepidosauria; Squamata; Cordylidae.
GACAGCCACUUUCCUUCAGCAGCGAAGCGAGCGGAACUGCCUGGUCGGGCCGCCGCGCACCGCUCUCGCAACAUCCGGCCUUGCAGGCCGACCCCUGUCUACAGCGCCCUCGGCAGGCAUGGCGGUCUCAUUGCAGCUGGCUAACGGAGAAGGGCAGAAAUGACGUCGGUCGGUUGGGAGCGCCUGAUAUGAGCUGCGCUUGAUCUCUUUCUCCACCUGGUCAGCUGCUUGCCUACACCGUCACCAUCAUAGGAAGCUGCCAUAUACUGAGUCAGACCAUUGGUCUACCGAGCUCAGUAUUGUCUUCAGAGACUGGCAGCGGCUUCUCCAAGGUUGCAGACAGGAAUCUCUCUCAGCCCUAUUUUGGAGAAGCCAGGGAGGGAACUUGGAACCUUCUGCUCUUCCUAGAGCGACCCCUUCAUAUGCAAGCAGGGUGGACCCUGCUUAGCUAAGGGGACAAGUCAUGUUUGCUAAGUUGCUACCACAAGACCAGCCUCCAGUCUCUACUUAACCACGGGUGGAGAGGAGAUCGGCUGGACUGGAGGGAAAAAAUGCAAGCAGUAUAGGGCUGAACUAUGAAUUAUGUGAAACUCCCGGUAUUUUAAUUGUUGCUUAGCAGCAGCAGAGGAAUCCACAUCUGAUCAGAGGAGCAGCAGAGUCCACAUUGUUCUCCUGAUCUAAAUACUCUUCCAUGUACAGCAUUUGAAGAGAGAGUGCACAUUCAGAAGAGGCAUGCAGCACAGCGUUCCCAGAAGUACCACUUCAGAAUUCAGAGCUCUAUCAUGAAAAUUGAAGGAAAGAGAAGAAGAGGAUGACCAGUGGUAAGGUGGAUGGACUUGAUUAUGACAGCAGUGAAAGCACCACUGAGAGACCUUAAAGGCCAAGUUGAAGACAGAUCAUCCUCGAGAAAAUCUAUGUGGUCGCUAAGAGUCAACACCAACUUGACUGCACUUAAUCAACCAACCAAUCAAUCAAUCAUGAUCUAGUGGAUAACCUCCAGACUACUGUAAUGUACAUGGAUCUGCCUUUGAAAAGGGUUUAGAAUUUCAGAAUGCUGCCACCUGGUUAGUAGUGAGGUCAAAUGCAAGGGAUGCAUAUUACAUCUAUUUUUGCCAGUUCUAUUUUCUAGGACAUUCUGAUUCCAGGCUCAGUUCAAAGUGGUGGGAUUCAUCUUGAUCUUUAUAUCUCCUAACAACUGGGGGUCUAGCUACCUUAAGGACCACCUAUUCCCAUAGCAUCUGGUGCAGCUACUGAGAUCUGCCCUGAGGCCUUGCUCUUUAUUGUACCACUGGUAGAGAAUUGUUUGGCAGGUACUAGGGAAAGUUUUCUUGAUGAUGCUCUUACAGUUCUAGUUCCUUUCCUAGAAAGAUCCUUCCAAAAGGGCCACUUCACUUGCUGUUUUAAAAAAGAAUCAAUGAAAUGUUUCUGUUUUGCAAAGUCUUCUCCAUUUAAAUUAUACUGUUAGGUAUUUAUGCUUUUAGUUGCUGGUUUCUAAAUGUAUUGCUUGCUGUUGUUUUUAAUGAUACUGUUUUAUAGUGAUCUUGUUUUUACAUUUUAACUGUAAUCCACUUUUUAUUUUAAUGAUAAGUGGACAAACAUUCAUUAAAUAAAAGAAAUACAUGAGCCA